Molecule: ribosomal RNA, 501 nt
Filed under: uncultured bacterium
Lineage: Bacteria
Description: partial 16S ribosomal RNA
Rfam family: Bacterial small subunit ribosomal RNA
Source: RNAcentral
AUUGAACGCUGGCGGCAGGCUUAACAUAUGCAAGUCGAGCGGAGAUGAGGUGCUUGCACCUUAUCUUAGCGGCGGACGGGUGAGUAAUGCUUAGGAAUCUGCCUAUUAGUGGGGGACAACAUUCCGAAAGGAAUGCUAAUACCGCAUACGUCCUACGGGAGAAAGCAGGGGAUCUUCGGACCUUGCGCUAGUAGAUGAGCCUAAGUCGGAUUAGCUAGUUGGUGGGGUAAAGGCCUACCAAGGCGACGAUCUGCAGCGGGUCUGAGAGGAUGAUCCGCCACACUGGGACUGAGACACGGCCCAGACUCCUACGGGAGGCAGCAGUGGGGAAUAUUGGACAAUGGGGGGAACCCUGAUCCAGCCAUGCCGCGUGUGUGAAGAAGGCCUUAUGGUUGUAAAGCACUUUAAGCGAGGAGGAGGCUACUGAGACUAAUACUCUUGGAUAGUGGACGUUACUCGCAGAAUAAGCACCGGCUAACUCUGUGCCAGCCGCCGCUGUAA